UUGAAAAAAAACGGCCACUGCCGCUCGGAAUGUCUCGGUCGUGGGCUCGUUAUCCUGUUGUGCGUCAUUCUAAGCCGUUCUGUACGUUUAUACUGGAUAUUAACUGAAGUCAUUUAGCUGUGCUGAUGCUGUGUGCCGUGUGUUUUGCAUCAGUGCUUCGUGACAUCGGCUGUAUUGCGUAUUUUCGCCGACGGCUUACUACCACAAUGGCGGGAUCUGCGUUCGCCGCCUUCGUGUCUCGGUGCGUCUUUGUACGUCGCACGUUCGGAUAACACUUUUCCCGACGGCUGGACAUCCUUCUUGUACCUUGGCGCUAGCUGGAUGACGGGACCUCAUCAUGAUCAGUGUAUUGCUUUCCUAUGUCUACAAGAACCGUCACGCGUGGCCUGUGACAGCAAGCUUUUGUGGGCAGCCAGUGCUCUCCUACGAAGGCUGGCCUACUCUGGCAGCGGCGGCAACCAUCUUCAAGAUUUAUCCAUGAUCCCCUUUGCUGCUAUUUGUCACUCUUGUUAAUUACACUUUCUGAAUCUUUUCUAGUUUAUUAGGUAAUAAAGUAUGAGUAUGUGA
Dermacentor albipictus is the source of this 567-nucleotide long non-coding RNA. RefSeq lists it as uncharacterized. The record is from RefSeq and is a predicted model, not a curated record. NCBI's taxonomy places the organism in Eukaryota, Metazoa, Arthropoda, Arachnida, Ixodida, Ixodidae.